GCGCGAAAACUUUACAAUGCUGGCAACAGCGAUAAGGGAACCUCGAGUGCCAGGUUACAAAUCUGGCUGUCGUUGUGUCUAAAAAACACGAUAUAGCAAGGGCCGGGCAAGACCGGUGCCAGCCGCCGCGGUAACACCGGCGGCUCGAGUGGUAACCGUUAUUAUUGGGUCUAAAGGGUCUGUAGCCGGCCGGAUAAGUCUCUUGGGAAAUCCGGCAGCUUAACUGUCGGGCUUUCAGGAGAUACUGUUCGGCUCGAGGCCGGGAGAGGUGAGAGGUACUUCAGGGGUAGGGGUGAAAUCUUGUAAUCCUUGAAGGACCACCAGUGGCGAAGGCGUCUCACCAGAACGGACCUGACGGCAAGGGACGAAAGCUAGGGGCGCGAACCG
This 387-nucleotide ribosomal RNA is filed under the name uncultured bacterium. RNAcentral's name for it is "bacterial SSU rRNA". It matches the Rfam family "Archaeal small subunit ribosomal RNA", at positions 339 to 726 of the family's 1478-position model. The record is from RNAcentral.